GAUGAACGCUGGCGGCGUGCCUAACACAUGCAAGUCGAACGGAGAUACGAUGUGAGCGAGAGGUGCUUGCACUGAUUAAUCUUUUCGUAUCUUAGUGGCGGACGGGUGAGUAACGCGUGGGUAACCUGCCUUAUACCGGGGGAUAACACUUAGAAAUAGGUGCUAAUACCGCAUAAGCGCACGGUGUCGCAUGACACAGUGUGAAAAACUCCGGUGGUAUAAGAUGGACCCGCGUCUGAUUAGCCAGUUGGCAGGGUAACGGCCUACCAAAGCGACGAUCAGUAGCCGGCCUGAGAGGGUGAACGGCCACAUUGGGACUGAGACACGGCCCAAACUCCUACGGGAGGCAGCAGUGGGGAAUAUUGCACAAUGGGGGAAACCCUGAUGCAGCGACGCCGCGUGAGUGAUGAAGUAUUUCGGUAUGUAAAGCUCUAUCAGCAGGGAAGAAGAAUGACGGUACCUGACUAAGAAGCACCGGCUAAA
Molecule: ribosomal RNA, 483 nt
Filed under: uncultured bacterium
Lineage: Bacteria
Description: bacterial SSU rRNA
Rfam family: Bacterial small subunit ribosomal RNA
Source: RNAcentral